GCUGGGGUUGUGGCUCAGCGGUAGAGCUCUCACCUAGCAUGCGUGAGGCCCUGGGUUCGAUCCUCAGCGCCAGUA
This 75-nucleotide transfer RNA is filed under the name Marmota monax (woodchuck). RNAcentral's name for it is "tRNA.Ala". It matches the Rfam family "tRNA". Rfam says of the family: Transfer RNA (tRNA) molecules are approximately 80 nucleotides in length. Their secondary structure includes four short double-helical elements and three loops (D, anti-codon, and T loops). Further hydrogen bonds mediate the characteristic L-shaped molecular structure. tRNAs have two regions of fundamental functional importance: the anti-codon, which is responsible for specific mRNA codon recognition, and the 3' end, to which the tRNAs corresponding amino acid is attached (by aminoacyl-tRNA synthetases). tRNAs cope with the degeneracy of the genetic code in two manners: having more than one tRNA (with a specific anti-codon) for a particular amino acid; and 'wobble' base-pairing, i.e. permitting non-standard base-pairing at the 3rd anti-codon position. The record is from RNAcentral. Lineage: Eukaryota; Metazoa; Chordata; Mammalia; Rodentia; Sciuridae.